RNAcentral lists this ribosomal RNA (253 nucleotides) under uncultured bacterium. RNAcentral describes it as "partial 16S ribosomal RNA". It matches the Rfam family "Bacterial small subunit ribosomal RNA", at positions 524 to 776 of the family's 1533-position model. The record is from RNAcentral.
UACGGAGGGAGCUAGCGUUGUUCGGAAUUACUGGGCGUAAAGCGCGCGUAGGCGGCUUUGUAAGUUAGAGGUGAAAGCCCGGGGCUCAACCCCGGAACUGCCUUUAAGACUGCAUCGCUUGAAUCCGGGAGAGGUGAGUGGAAUUCCGAGUGUAGAGGUGAAAUUCGUAGAUAUUCGGAAGAACACCAGUGGCGUAAGCGACUCGCUGGGCUGUAACUGACGCUGAGGAACGAAAGCCAGGGGAGCGAAUGGG